AAAGCUCUCACACAAAGGUUUGGUCCUAGCCUUACUAUCAACUACCACUCAACUUACACAUGCAAGUUUCCGCACCCCCGUGAGAACACCCUUACCCCCUCCCGCAGGAUAAGGAGCCGGUAUCAGGCACAGACACCUUGCCCAUAACACCUAGCCAUGCCACGCCCUCAAGGGUACUCAGCAGUGAUUAACAUUGUCCAUAAGCGUCAGCUUGAACCAGUUAGAGUGUAACAGAGUUGGCCAACCUGGUGCCAGCCGCCGCGGCUAAACCACGAACUCAAGUUGACACUAUUUCGGCGUUAAGCGUGAUUAAAGUGACCCAAAAUUAGAGCCAAACCCACACAAAGUCGUGACACUCUUGUUCAAGGAAGUACAAAAACGAAAGUUGCUCUAACCCAACCACUUGACCCCACGACAGCUAAGAAACAAACUGGGAUUAGAUACCCCACUAUGCUUAGCCAUAAAAUAUCCACCCACACCCAACCCGCCGGGGAAUUACGAGCCCAAACUUAAAACCCAAAGGACUUGACGGUGUCCCACCCCCCUAGAGGAGCCUGUUCUAUAAUCGAUACCCCCCGAUACACCUCACCACCCCUUGCAUACCAGCCCGUAUACCUCCGUCGCAAGCUUACCAUGUGAACGUCCUAGUGAGCCAAAAGAUCCACCAUCAACACGUCAGGUCAAGGUGCAGCCCACGGAGUGGAAAGAAAUGGGCUACAAUCUCUACCAUAGAACAAACGAAAGACUACAUGCAACAUAGUCACUGAAGGCGGAUUUAGCAGUAAAAAGAAAAUAGAGAGCUCUUUUUAACCCGGCACUGGGACGCGUACACACCGCCCGUCACCCUCUUCAAACUACCCCACUACACCCAAAGAAGAGGCAAGUCGUAACACGGUAAGCGUACUGGAAAGUGCGCUUGGA
RNAcentral lists this non-coding RNA (921 nucleotides) under Oreophryne anulata (Davao cross frog). RNAcentral describes it as "12S ribosomal RNA". It matches the Rfam family "Bacterial small subunit ribosomal RNA". Lineage: Eukaryota; Metazoa; Chordata; Amphibia; Anura; Microhylidae. The record is from RNAcentral.